Empidonax traillii (willow flycatcher) is the source of this 94-nucleotide long non-coding RNA. RefSeq lists it as uncharacterized. The transcript has 3 exons. The record is from RefSeq and is a predicted model, not a curated record. NCBI's taxonomy places the organism in Eukaryota, Metazoa, Chordata, Aves, Passeriformes, Tyrannidae.
UUUCUUAAAAAAUUCGAUGAGAUGUUCUCUUUAUCCCAGGAGUAAUAUUAAUAUGUAAUGCUGUGGAGUGAGACUAUGAGAACGGAAGAGCACA